UACGGGGGGGGCAAGCGUUGUUCGGAAUUACUGGGCGUAAAGGGCUCGUAGGCGGCCAACUAAGUCGGAUGUGAAAUCCCCAGGCUUAACCUGGGAACUGCAUCCGAUACUGGAUGGCUUGAAUCCGGGAGAGGGAUGCAGAAUUCCAGGUGUAGCGGUGAAAUGCGUAGAUAUCAGGAAGAACACCCGUGGCUAAGGCGGCUCUCUAGUACGGUACUGACGCUGAGACGCGAAAGCGUGGGGAGCGAACAGG
Molecule: ribosomal RNA, 253 nt
Filed under: uncultured bacterium
Lineage: Bacteria
Description: partial 16S ribosomal RNA
Rfam family: Bacterial small subunit ribosomal RNA
Source: RNAcentral